RNAcentral lists this ribosomal RNA (416 nucleotides) under uncultured Desulfobulbus sp. Its description in RNAcentral is "bacterial SSU rRNA". It matches the Rfam family "Bacterial small subunit ribosomal RNA", at positions 971 to 1382 of the family's 1533-position model. The record is from RNAcentral. Lineage: Bacteria; Pseudomonadati; Thermodesulfobacteriota; Desulfobulbia; Desulfobulbales; Desulfobulbaceae.
UUACCUGGUCUUGACAUCCCGGAGACCCUUAGGAAACUAGGGGUGCUUCCAUCUGGAAGAAUCUGGAGACAGGUGCUGCAUGGCUGUCGUCAGCUCGUGUCGUGAGAUGUUGGGUUAAGUCCCGCAACGAGCGCAACCCUUGCCUUUAGUUGCCAGCAGUUCGGCUGGGCACUCUAAAGGGACUGCCGGUGUUAAACCGGAGGAAGGUGGGGGUGACGUCAAGUCCUCAUGGCCUUUAUGACCAGGGCUACACACGUACUACAAUGGCCGAUACAAAGGGCAGCGACACUGCGAGGUGAAGCCAAUCCCGUAAAAUCGGUCUCAGUCCGGAUUGGAGUCUGCAACUCGACUCCAUGAAGUUGGAAUCGCUAGUAAUCGUGGAUCAGCAUGCCACGGUGAAUACGUUCCCGGGCCUU